GUGAGCGUAGCUCAAUCUGGUUAGAGCACAAGAUUGUGGAUCUUGGGGUUGCGGGUUCAAUUCCCGUCGCUCACCCCA
RNAcentral lists this transfer RNA (78 nucleotides) under Omnitrophica bacterium RIFCSPHIGHO2_02_FULL_45_28. RNAcentral describes it as "tRNA-His". It matches the Rfam family "tRNA". Rfam says of the family: Transfer RNA (tRNA) molecules are approximately 80 nucleotides in length. Their secondary structure includes four short double-helical elements and three loops (D, anti-codon, and T loops). Further hydrogen bonds mediate the characteristic L-shaped molecular structure. tRNAs have two regions of fundamental functional importance: the anti-codon, which is responsible for specific mRNA codon recognition, and the 3' end, to which the tRNAs corresponding amino acid is attached (by aminoacyl-tRNA synthetases). tRNAs cope with the degeneracy of the genetic code in two manners: having more than one tRNA (with a specific anti-codon) for a particular amino acid; and 'wobble' base-pairing, i.e. permitting non-standard base-pairing at the 3rd anti-codon position. Lineage: Bacteria; Pseudomonadati; Candidatus Omnitrophota. The record is from RNAcentral. RNAcentral also lists the same sequence under 4 other names.